CAGCAGCCACGGGAAUACGUAGGUGGCAAGCGUUGUCCGGAAUUAUUGGGCGUAAAGGGCUCGCAGGCGGUUUCUUAAGUCUGAUGUGAAAGCCCCCGGCUCAACCGGGGAGGGUCAUUGGAAACUGGGAAACUUGAGUGCAGAAGAGGAGAGUGGAAUUCCACGUGUAGCGGUGAAAUGCGUAGAGAUGUGGAGGAACACCAGUGGCGAAGGCGACUCUCUGGUCUGUAACUGACGCUGAGGAGCGAAAGCGUGGGGAGCGAACAGGAUUAGAUACUCCAGUAGUCCCUGUCUCUUAUAC
Molecule: ribosomal RNA, 301 nt
Filed under: uncultured bacterium
Lineage: Bacteria
Description: partial 16S ribosomal RNA
Rfam family: Bacterial small subunit ribosomal RNA
Source: RNAcentral